CAGAUGAUGGUGUCGUAUACGAAGAUUC
This 28-nucleotide small RNA is filed under the name Bombyx mori (domestic silkworm). Its description in RNAcentral is "piRNA piR-bmo-2015110". Lineage: Eukaryota; Metazoa; Arthropoda; Insecta; Lepidoptera; Bombycidae. The record is from RNAcentral.